This 100-nucleotide non-coding RNA is filed under the name Marinobacter sp. RNAcentral's name for it is "Glycine sequence". It matches the Rfam family "Glycine riboswitch aptamer". From Rfam's summary of the family: This family represents the bacterial glycine riboswitch. Glycine riboswitches usually consist of two metabolite-binding aptamers domains with similar structures in tandem. RNAcentral also lists the same sequence under 1 other name. The record is from RNAcentral. Lineage: Bacteria; Pseudomonadati; Pseudomonadota; Gammaproteobacteria; Pseudomonadales; Marinobacteraceae.
AAGGUGUUAGCGGGAGAGACUGCGCCACACAGCUGUGUGGCCAGCGCCGAAGGAGCAACUGCCCCGGAAACUCUCAGGCAAAAGGGACCGCUAACACGAU